This 67-nucleotide transfer RNA is filed under the name Marmota monax (woodchuck). Its description in RNAcentral is "tRNA.Ala". The record is from RNAcentral. Lineage: Eukaryota; Metazoa; Chordata; Mammalia; Rodentia; Sciuridae.
GGCUGUAGCUCAGUGGGGGAGCGUUUGCCUAGCAUGUCUGAGGCACUGGGUUCAAUUCUCAGCACCA